RNAcentral lists this ribosomal RNA (507 nucleotides) under uncultured bacterium. RNAcentral describes it as "bacterial SSU rRNA". It matches the Rfam family "Bacterial small subunit ribosomal RNA", at positions 8 to 526 of the family's 1533-position model. The record is from RNAcentral.
AGAGUUUGAUCCUGGCUCAGAAUCAACGCUGGCGGCGUGCCUCAGACAUGCAAGUCGAACGCGAAAGAAGUCUUCGGACUUCGAGUAGAGUGGCGCACGGGUGAGUAACACGUAGGUAAUUUACCUUUGGGCGGGGAAUAACUCGGGGAAACGCGAGCUAAUACCGCAUAAGGCAGCAGCUUUGGAUGAAGCGGUUGUUAAAGCUCUUCGGGGCACCUAAAGAGAAGCCUGCGGCGGAUUAGCUAGUUGGUAAGGUAAAGGCUUACCAAGGCGACGAUCCGUAUCCGGCCUGAGAGGGCGGUCGGACACACUGACACUGAACACACGGGUCAGACUCCUACGGGAGGCAGCAGUCGGGAAUUUUGGGCAAUGGGGGCAACCCUGACCCAGCAACGCCGCGUGGAGGACGAAAUUUUUCGGAAUGUAAACUCCGCAAGUAUAGGAAGAAUCAAUGACGGUACUAUAUCUAAGCCCCGGCUAACUCCGUGCCAGCCGCCGCGGUAAUAC